UAUGCGUGUUUUAUGCAUCAGCAGAGCACUCCAUUACUGGUAGGCUGCACACACAAUUAGGGCUUUAUGAUCUUUGAAGUCGGUUAAUACAAAGAUUUAUGUAUUUGCAGCAAUAGAAAGCCUGUGAAGUCAUGGGGAUAGAUGUUUUGUAGACCUACAGUCCGAUUCUCCUUUGAGUGGUGUUGGUUUAGCUCCACUGUCUUCAGUGGCAUCCAUCCUCACACCAUCUGAGCACCAGAAGAGCAGAAGAAGGAAACCCAUCCCUCAGUGCAUGCCCGGGGAGGUCCACUCCUAGAGAGCUCGCUUUUAUUUCAGACCACUGGGGAAAGCACCAAGAGAGAGAGCAGGCUCCACGGCAGAAAUCAAACCUUGCAGCACGCUUCUUCCACCGAGCUGCUCACGGCAGCAUCCUCGGGCUGGCACCGCGGAGGGGCCGCUUCACCGGCGGGCUCCUGCCCGCCCGCCUGCCCACGAUGCUCCCCAGGGCACGCCAGGGCGCAGGAGGGCAAGGCAAAUCCACGGCCACGUGGGUGAAAAUGAAGGAAACGCUUUCAGUAAUGAGCCGGGUUAAUGGAUAGUGAAGAUGGCGGUGGUAGGGAGAACGUCAAAGUCAUUCAUCUCAGAGACAAUUCUUUUUCCUGUGUUCUGUGAAAUUUCUGCGUGAGACUCCCUGAAACAUUCAUUGUCGGAAAUGGCCGCGGCUUUUCUCCUGUUGGUUUCUCCAGGAAAGGUCAAGGCAGGCAGCCAGUAGGAUGACUGGACAACGUCACUGCUUUAAAGACCUGUGAGUUCUCACUGACACUGAAACAGUAACGGGCGAUGGAGCAUUAGGAGAAACUACACUGCAAACGCAGGAUGAAAUUUCAAGAGCAGAUUGAAUAGGGAAAAGGGUUAGGAAGGUUUAGUAAGGCAGAGGGAACAAAACCUGAUUUCUCCUAACCACUCUCCCAGCUCUGGGAUCUGGACUACAUGACUCCUACUUAUGUCUGACAUCAUACCUCCACCCCAAAGCUGAAGGAAUAAAUGCCUGCAAACACAGUUUUUGUUACUGACAGCUGCCUGACUGUUUUUCCUCGUAUGUAAACUUCAAAGUCAAUCAGAGGUCAAAGCUCUGGACGAAGACAGACUAACGAAAACAACGGUGGUGAGCACAUGCGAUGUGAAGGAGCUGAGGAUCUCGGUGUAGCACAUCACCUCCUUCCAGAUGAGGGGGGAAAUUAUCGACGUCUUGGAUGCAACGUUUCUUGAUCCGGACAUUUGAUGUGGUUGUCAGGGCUUGAAUACUCAUUGGGAAACAGGUUUCGCAGAGAACUGAAGGGUACAGCCAUGCGCUGCAGGACUUGACAUUCUCUGGCUAUUCUUGGUUCAAGUGAUCUGGAAAUAGCUUAAUAGAUUACCGUAAAAAUGCUGGAGAAAAACAGCCUUUUUCUGGUUUCUGUCAGAUGCAGAGGGCUUCAGGGGAGGGCAUAGGUUUUGAUUCCCAAUGUGCUAUUCUAUAUUCUGUUAAAGGGGAAAUGAAAGAGAAAGGAAGCCCUGGAGAGGCAGCUUCUGCAGCAGAGCAGCAUGGAGCAUGUUCUGUAGACGUAUGCAGUGGUGGCACAGGAUGUGUCUUGAGUUUGUGCUUUUUUUUUUCCCUUUGGGAGAACAUCUGCCUUUUCCCUGUUCAUCUGUCGGCGGGAUCAGGCCCCUGCUUGUGCAGAAGCCGGAGGAUGCUGGUGGCAAAACAUCAGUUACAAUAUCAUUAUUUCAAUUAUUUCCCUCAAAUAUAUUAGUGUGCAUUUGUUGCUUCUUCCACACCCGCAGCGAAUUAAAAAUUGAAAUCAAAUAAUGCCCAAGUUACGCUUAAGCUAAAAGCCAAACUGUGAACACCGGGGCUGUGGGCUGUGCCCAGAGACCCUCCUCUAGAAGGCACGAGAAAGACACGUUUCUUUUUCUCAGGGAAGCAGAGGAGUUUCCCACAGAGGCUGUGCCUGUGCUGCUCUGGAACUCGUGGAGGGGUAGAUGACCGAGAGCAAUGGGGGGAAAUGUUGCAGGCCCAUCAGGCAGGUGCUGUGGGAGGAGAGCACCUUUUUCUAGCUAUGGGCCUCCUGGCAAGGGCUAAGAAGAGUUUCAGUCUUAGGAAGUAUUUGAAACUGUCCCUGAUUCAAGGAAUAUGUGGCUUAUGGUCCCUGGUUAAUGUGGCCAGAAGCAAUGUUGUUCUCUGUAUCUUCUCAUUCAACAACCUUUUUCUGCUCAGUUCCAGGCCAUUUAGCAUCAUCCUUUCCAUUAAUGAUCUUCACAUCAGUUUUCAUUUUAGCUGAAAGUAUUAAUUUUCAGACCAGUUUCAGUGAGUUUUGCAAGAAUUACAAUUUUACUCACUUUUUCAUGACUAUUCAUCACUAAUACCAUUCUGUUUACCCCUAACUUCUAUGUCCCUAAGCAUUAAUGCAAAAGUGAAGGAAAAAAAUACAGCAAGAAGUCAGUGAGAGAAAAGAAAGAAAAGUGUGAAGUACCUCUGUGAAGAGCCGUGUGGGUGCAAAGAGAAGCUAAAAGGAUGCAGGGAGAGAAGUUGGGAAACAAAAGAGGAGGAGAGAAGCUGGCCGGGGGCUGCCCUGCUGGGAGGAAGGGGAAAUGGGAGCAGAAAUGGGAGCAGGGUGAUUAGGUACGGUCUUCAGGCAGAGGAUGGAGAGCUUGCAGGGAUGGGGUAAGGGGCAGGAAGGAAGCAAAUAAAGAGUGCAGGGGGAUGAAGUUUGUGCAGUGAGAAAAAGAGAUUGCCUUAGCAGCAGCAUUUCGCGUUGCGUGCUGGUGGACUGCAUCGUGUGUAAUCAGCUUGAAGUAGCCGUCGUGAUUCUUCAGGAGACGACCUAGAGGAGAGUACUGUGGCUUUAUUUGAAUCCUUUCCUAACCCGGGGUCUCUCCACAUAAAGGCUGAGCAUUGUGCUGCACUGAGUGACAACUGGAGUGUGUUGCGUUUUGUGCAUUGUCAUUGAUUCUAUAUGCCUUUUGUGCCGUGCCUGCUGAAAACAAAGGUCAAGUACCAGCAGAUUCUGUUUUCUCUGAGAGAUUUAACUAAAGCCUGAGGAUAAAGGCAGAGUGCUAGAAACAGCUACUGAGUGUGAAAGAUGUUUAAAUUUGCCUUACUAUAACUUCAAUGUCAGUUUGUCCAUAGCUGCUUUGUAAUCAUUUUUUAUUUUCUUUUGAUGAAAUGACAGGAGAGUAAACAUUUUAAAAAAUCCAGAUGAGUCUUACAGAUGAUAUCUUCUGUAAGUAAAUCCAUUGUUCAAUACAGGCUUGGAAAGAGGUGCUAGGAAACAGAGUGAGGAAGCACACUAAGUAGGACGCAACAAUUUCUGUUCAUAGUUUUGGUGCUAGUAAUUUAGUGAGUGUAAAUUGUAAGGCUCCAAAUGGACUGGGUUGCAUAAGGUUUUCAUAUCCCCUAGUGACAAUAACAGCAAAGGUUAUUGUAUUAGUCUGCAGUGCUUUUGAAGGUUUUGAUUUUGCCAUACCUACAGGGUUUUUUUUUUGUUUAAAUAACAAUAAAUAAAAUAAACCAAAACAGAAUCUUAAGAAAAGCCAGGUUAUUGAAACUGGAUGCAGUUAAUUUACUGGCAGAUACCAAACAUGAGAUCCCACACAGCUACUCCACUUCAGCACGCACUGAUCCUUCAGCUUAGCAGGUGAUAAGGCAGGAAUUCGUGCUCAGCUGGCGAUAAGGCAGCGCGUAGCUGCCUCUGGAGCACACAGAAGCGUCAUGCAAAUCUGGCAGCGCUCGUGUAUCAAGUCGGCAAGACAGACAGGAUGAAGUCAUACGUCUACGGGAGCAAGAAACCAUCCAGUUUACCCACAGUUUUGAAAUUAUGUAUGAGUAAUGCAGCUACUUCUCCCGGUGUAGGAUGUUGUGUACGGGACAUGUCUUGCACACUGUGAGUCUAAAACCAGCCAGCUCAGAAUACGCCAUAAACAAAGAA
Molecule: long non-coding RNA, 3947 nt
Organism: Cygnus atratus (black swan)
Lineage: Eukaryota; Metazoa; Chordata; Aves; Anseriformes; Anatidae
Exons: 4
Source: RefSeq, a predicted model, not a curated record